GCUCGGGCCGGGAGCCGGAGGCAGAGGAGGGCGCGGCGCCCCGCGGAGUUGCUGGCAGGGCUGGCGCAGAGCCGGGCCCCCGCGUCCCGCGCGGUGAGCCGCCGAGACAAUAAAGUAGCGGUCGGCAGCCCCCGAGCGCCCGAGGGAGGCGGCGGCGCGGCAGGCUUGGAUGAGAAAUCCAGAAGAAAGAAUGUGUGAAAGAAAAAGAUGACAUCUGUGCAUGGCAAAACAAAUCCAAAGAUUAUUACAAUAAAAACAAACCGAGGUCAAGAGAACA
Molecule: long non-coding RNA, 277 nt
Filed under: Canis lupus dingo (dingo)
Lineage: Eukaryota; Metazoa; Chordata; Mammalia; Carnivora; Canidae
Description: lncRNA (ENSCAFG00020012169.1)
Source: RNAcentral